UCCAUUGAGGGGCGCUGCGACGGUACGCAUAGGCGUUCCUGCCAGGCUCGAUGGGAUGGAUCAUACUACUGUGCAACGGCGCCCGUUCAUC
Molecule: non-coding RNA, 91 nt
Filed under: Singulisphaera acidiphila
Lineage: Bacteria; Pseudomonadati; Planctomycetota; Planctomycetia; Isosphaerales; Isosphaeraceae
Also listed under: 1 other name
Description: SAH sequence
Rfam family: SAH (S-adenosyl-L-homocysteine) riboswitch aptamer
Source: RNAcentral